UACAGAGGGUGCGAGCGUUAAUCGGAAUUACUGGGCGUAAAGCGCGCGUAGGCGGCUUUGCAAGUCGGGUGUGAAAUCCCCAGGCUUAACCUGGGAACUGCAUUCGAGACUGCAUUGCUAGAGUAUGGGAGAGGGAAGUGGAAUUUCCGGUGUAGCGGUGAAAUGCGCAGAUAUCAGGAGGAACACCGGUGGCGAAGGCGGGUCUCUGGGCCUGUACUGACGCUGAGGAGCGAAAGCGUGGGGAGCGAACAGG
This 253-nucleotide ribosomal RNA is filed under the name uncultured bacterium. Its description in RNAcentral is "partial 16S ribosomal RNA". It matches the Rfam family "Bacterial small subunit ribosomal RNA", at positions 524 to 776 of the family's 1533-position model. The record is from RNAcentral.